RNAcentral lists this ribosomal RNA (472 nucleotides) under uncultured bacterium. RNAcentral describes it as "bacterial SSU rRNA". It matches the Rfam family "Bacterial small subunit ribosomal RNA", at positions 335 to 796 of the family's 1533-position model. The record is from RNAcentral.
ACUCCUACGGGAGGCAGCAGUAGGGAAUCUUCCACAAUGGGCGCAAGCCUGAUGGAGCAACACCGCGUGAGUGAAGAAGGGUUUCGGCUCGUAAAGCUCUGUUGUUAAAGAAGAACACGUAUGAGAGUAACUGUUCAUACGUUGACGGUAUUUAACCAGAAAGUCACGGCUAACUACGUGCCAGCAGCCGCGGUAAUACGUAGGUGGCAAGCGUUAUCCGGAUUUAUUGGGCGUAAAGAGAGUGCAGGCGGUUUUCUAAGUCUGAUGUGAAAGCCUUCGGCUUAACCGGAGAAGUGCAUCGGAAACUGGAUAACUUGAGUGCAGAAGAGGGUAGUGGAACUCCAUGUGUAGCGGUGGAAUGCGUAGAUAUAUGGAAGAACACCAGUGGCGAAGGCGGCUACCUGGUCUGCAACUGACGCUGAGACUCGAAAGCAUGGGUAGCGAACAGGAUUAGAUACCCUGGUAGGAAACC